RNAcentral lists this unclassified non-coding RNA (471 nucleotides) under Hevea brasiliensis (rubber tree). Lineage: Eukaryota; Viridiplantae; Streptophyta; Magnoliopsida; Malpighiales; Euphorbiaceae. The record is from RNAcentral.
GUUCUAGCUUUUGAUGAUUUGAAAGAUGAAUGUGGCUGAAUCCACACUCUAAUUUGAGUGAUUUCAGCCGAAUGGUUCCACUUUACUGUUGGUUAGAUAAGCAUGUCAGAUGUAAUUAUCCGAGACUAGUUCAUUAGUAACUCAUAAAGUGGCAGAUCCUUGAAGAAGUUAUGGAAAAUCUUGUAAUAUAACUCCGAUAAUAAUUGACAUAUGAAGCCUCAACUGCAAGCCUUACUUGUAGUGAAAACCAAGCCAAAGCUUUUCACAAGUACAAAUAAGAUAAAAGAGUAUCCAAUAAUAAAGGGACAAAGUGUCUAACAUCAGACAUGGAACUAUUUACAAUGUAAAAAUAAAAGUGACAAGAAUUUAGAGGUACAAAUAAUAGAAUAAGAAGUUUCACAAGCAUUAAAACACAUGUAUUGGCCAUUUAUUACAUUAAAUACAAAUAUUGUUACAUUCAGCAGUUGGCAU